This 505-nucleotide ribosomal RNA is filed under the name uncultured bacterium. RNAcentral describes it as "bacterial SSU rRNA". It matches the Rfam family "Bacterial small subunit ribosomal RNA", at positions 24 to 518 of the family's 1533-position model. The record is from RNAcentral.
UCAGGAUGAACGCUGGCGGCAGGCUUAAUACAUGCAAGUCGAACGGUAAGGCCGAGCGUAGCAAUACGUGAGGUACACGAGUGGCGCACGGGUGCGUAACGCGUAUGCAACCUGCCCCGCACCGGGACAAACAGCUGGAAACGGCUGCUAAUGUCCCAUGGCCACCCGAGGGGACAUCCCCAUGGGUGUAAAGAUUUAUCGGUACGGGAUGGGGCAUGCGUAUUAUUAGGUAGUUGGCGGGGUAACGGCCCACCAAGCCGACGAUGAUUAGGGGUCCUGAGAGGGUUAACCCCCACACUGGAACUGAGACACGGUCCAGACUCCUACGGGAGGCAGCAGUAGGGAAUAUUGGGCAAUGGGAGCAAUCCUGACCCAGCCAUGCCGCGUGAAGGAAGACGGCCCUAUGGGUUGUAAACUUCCUUUGCCGCAGAGUAAACCCGGUCACGUGUGGCCGGUUGAGAGUAUGCGGCGAAUAAGUAUCGGCUAACUCCGUGCCAGCAGCGGC